GACCUAAAUGGUUAGGGACUAAGAAAUAUACAGUCAAAGUAAGUAGCCUCACUGUGAAUAGCUAAUACACCACAGGUCAAAGGACCAGUCACACUACUGCAGCAUCGAGAAAACUACUGAUGAGUGAAUAGAUAUCCAAGUGAUUUCUCAUGUUAGUCAUGCUCAGUGUAAGUUAUUCUUUAACAACCAUCUGUACUCUCACUCCAAUAUCUUCACACCACAGAUUUGAGACUCAUCUGCCCGG
Molecule: long non-coding RNA, 244 nt
Filed under: Elaeis guineensis (African oil palm)
Lineage: Eukaryota; Viridiplantae; Streptophyta; Magnoliopsida; Arecales; Arecaceae
Description: long non-coding RNA (EGUI_LNC054461)
Source: RNAcentral